GCUAGUGGGGGUGGUGGUGACAGUGGGAUGGCGCUGGCAUUGGUGUAUUGGUUUAAGGCACUACAUUUUUUGGGAAGGACAGAAAUCAUGAAGUUAAAAGGAGGAACAGCGUUCAGCUCCCCAAGUCAACAGCCGGUGCCCAGGCCCCUGUCCUCCUGUGCACCUAUCUGCAGCCCCCACGUCUCCUGUUUGCCAUCGAUGCCAUCCCAUUGGAUUAAAUGAGGCCUUCUUUCUUCACGUCUGCCACCCAGUUCCCAGUAGGAUGCUUCCAACAGUUCAAAGUGUUGUUACAUGAAAGAAGAAAGAGAUUUGAACCUUAUGAGCUCUGAAGGCAGAGCUAGGUUCAAUGGAAAACAGGGAGGCAGAUUUCAAAUAAAUAACAGGAAGAAUUUUCUAUCAAGGAGGGGCAGUGGGAAGACUAUGGACUCUGCAGCGAAACCAACUCAGGUUCAAAUUCUGAUGCUGCUCUUAAUAGAUCUGUGAUCAUGGGAAAAUUACUUUCCCUCUCUGUGCCUUUGUUUCCUCUAGAAAAAUGGAGAGAAUGCCUCCUCAACAGGACUCUUUUUGGAUUAGAGCUCAAGCCACUCACUGGCCCCAUCCCCAUUGUUGGCUCUAUGAACCACAGCAAUUGUGUCCAGCAGCAAAAGCCAUCCAAGGUGGAGUUGAGACAUCCCUGAGGCCCUGAGUGCAGCCCAGCCCUGUUGGGUCUAGAAACUGGGAAUUUAAACUCAGGCAGGAGAGAGCAUGCGAAGGAGAAAGCUCUUCCAAAAGGUAAUAACUAUGUUCAUUGUUCAUAAAUUAUGAGUAGACACAGCCAUCUUUUCUAUGAAGCCAAAUCAUUAUGUUGGGGAGAUGACAGGGAGAGACUGGGCCAGGCUUGAUGGACCCAGUACUGUGUCCUGAUAACUCUACCUUCUCCCUAAACACUUUACUUUUCUUAAGGACAGAGGCAGAGAGACAAAUGAUUCUGUCUGGUGAACUUCUGAGAGGCCCAUUUGGAAGAAAAGAAUGUGAACAAUUCCCUGGCUUGAAAUUGAGAACUCCAGAAAUGAAAGCUUUCGAAUGAGUUAGCAUUGCUGCCUCAGUUUCCUUGUUUGUAGCACUGGACUUUUGCUAGUU
Long non-coding RNA from Homo sapiens (human), 1119 nucleotides. RefSeq lists it as uncharacterized. Lineage: Eukaryota; Metazoa; Chordata; Mammalia; Primates; Hominidae. The transcript is spliced from 3 exons. The record is from RefSeq and is a predicted model, not a curated record.